RNAcentral lists this ribosomal RNA (429 nucleotides) under Actinomycetes bacterium. Its description in RNAcentral is "Actinobacteria bacterium partial 16S ribosomal RNA". It matches the Rfam family "Bacterial small subunit ribosomal RNA", at positions 355 to 776 of the family's 1533-position model. Lineage: Bacteria; Bacillati; Actinomycetota; Actinomycetes. The record is from RNAcentral.
UAGGGAAUCUUCCGCAAUGGGCGAAAGCCUGACGGAGCAACGCCGCGUGAGUGAUGAAGGUCUUCGGAUCGUAAAACUCUGUUAUAAGGGAAGAACAAAUGUGUAAGUAACUAUGCACGUCUUGACGGUACCUAAUCAGAAAGCCACGGCUAACUACGUGCCAGCAGCCGCGGUAAUACGUAGGUGGCAAGCGUUAUCCGGAAUUAUUGGGCGUAAAGCGGGCGUAGGCGGUUUUUUAAGGCUGAUGUGAAAACCCACGGCUCAACCGUGGAGGGUCAGUGGGAACAGGAAAGCUUGAGUGCAGAAGAGGAAAGUGGAAUUCCAGGUGUAGCGGUGAAAUGCGCAGCGAUGUGGAGGAACACCAGUGGCGAAGGCGAGUUUGUGGUCUGUAAAUGACGCUGAUGUGCGAAAGCGUGGGGAUCAAACAGG